Molecule: ribosomal RNA, 495 nt
Filed under: uncultured bacterium
Lineage: Bacteria
Description: partial 16S ribosomal RNA
Rfam family: Bacterial small subunit ribosomal RNA
Source: RNAcentral
GACGAACGCUGGCGGCGUGCCUAAUACAUGCAAGUAGAACGCUGAAGGAGGAGCUUGCUCUUCUGGAUGAGUUGCGAACGGGUGAGUAACGCGUAGGUAACCUGCCUGGUAGUGGGGGAUAACUAUUGGAAACGAUAGCUAAUACCGCAUAAUAACAGUUGUUGCAUGACAACUGUUUGAAAGGUGCAAUUGCAUCACUACCAGAUGGACCUGCGUUGUAUUAGCUAGUUGGUGGGGUAACGGCUCACCAAGGCGACGAUACAUAGCCGACCUGAGAGGGUGAUCGGCCAAACUGGGACUGAGACACGGCCCAGACUCCUACGGGAGGCAGCAGUAGGGAAUCUUCGGCAAUGGACGAAAGUCUGACCGAGCAACGCCGCGUGAGUGAAGAAGGGUUUCGGAUCGUAAAGCUCUGUUGUAAGAGAAGAACGAGUGUGAGAGUGGAAAGUUCACACUGUGACGGUAUCUUACCAGAAAGGGACGGCUAACUACGUG